AGUCAAAGUCCCUGCAGAAGUAAAUUUGUCAAAAUGACCCUAGGAGCUUUGAUCUAUGUCAAUCUGCAUCCCACUCUUUACCCCAAUUGUGUUCUGGUAGCACUUAAUUGGGGAAUCUGAUCUUUAAAAACUUGCUUUUGGGACUCCUUGAAGACCAGUUCCCUCAGGAAAUAGUAAGUGUUAGAACCAGGGGUGUAUCAAGACAAUACAACUUUUCUUCCUCUCACUUUUCUGUAUCUGGCUCCCUCACUACUCAUUCUUAAGGUGAAGUGAGGUUAAUAAGCAGAAUAUAUAGGUAAUGACAAUCUAAGAGAACAUCCCAAGAGUGAUAGGGAUUCCAUCAAUCAGCCAUCUGAGUGACACACCAAGUUCCCUUUUGUUUAGGAAAAACUUUUUAUUCAGAUGGUCCUUCAGAGGAGGAGGCAAGUAACAUGAAUGCAUAACUCCCUGGGUAGUUUUAACUUUGGUUAUAAAAGUUCUGUGUGUCUUGAUAGGACAUUUUAAGAGGGAAAGACAAACCAAUCAGGAAAGUUAACAGUGCAAGACCUAAAGAGAAUAGAUAUUGUUGGUACACAGUCACAAUCAUUCAUUUACAGAAUAUAGUCAAUGUUUUUUCAUGCUGCUGUGGUGUGAAUGUGUCCCCCCAAAACUCACACGUUGAAAUAAAAGUGCCAAGCUGAUAGUAAUAAGAGCUGAAUCCUUUAGGAGGUGAUUAAGUUAGGAGGGCUGAAUCUUCAUGGGUGGAAUCAGGGUACUUAUAAAAAGGCACAAAGAAGUGGGUUUGCUCUCUGCCAGCCUUUCACCAUGUAAGUACAGAGCCCUCAUACUUUUUUUUUUCUCUGCCUUCAUAGGACAUAGCAAGAAGUUUGAGAUGCAGAGGUUCUUCCAUUCAGCCACCCAAACAUCAUUGUAGAAACUCUGUAGGCUUCUCCAAGAAUACUGGACCCGGAGGAAGAAAAUUUGGGAAUGGCAUAAGGAGCAGGCACUAGAUCAGAAUACAAAGCUUUGCUCCAAAUUUAUGACUUUGAGCUGUUGACUAACUCUCUCUGGCUUUUGGUUUCCUGAUCUAUAAAGUGGAGAUGAAAGAUUUAGAUGAUCCCUCUGGUAUCUUCUAGCUCUAAAAUUCUGUGAUCUCAGGUUCUACAUGGUGAUAAAGCAUUCUGUAUCUGUCCAACCAUGCCAGUGAUUUAAUCUACCGUUUAUAAGCAAGCCAGGAUGUGACAAAAAUGAUACAAUUAUUGACUCAGCAUUUUACAUUGUCUUUGACCCUGAAAGCAUAUUCCAUUUUCAAAUUGGCUACAUUAUUCUCUAGUCAGAAACCUAGAAUUAUGCCAUUAUUGCCUUGUUUAUCUGGCAUAAAUAAGAAAUAUUCAUGUUAUUUGAAAACUCUUGAUUUCUAGUACAGAAAUACAAAAUUGAUCAGAAAUCUGGUACAUCUGCUGACUAGUAGUUGUUUCUUGUGAUGAUGCUGAAAUCCACUGAAUUAUAUACUUUAAAAGAAUGAAUUUCAUGGUAUGUGAGUUAUAUUUCAAAUUUUGAAAGUUGCCAAAUAAAAUGAAUGAAUCACUCCACUAGUUGAAUUUUUGGUUGCAGAAGUAAGGGAAUUUAUGUUGAAAUUUUAAAAUUCUAAUUUCUGAUGCUCAGAAUAAAACAACAGUGAUAAUAGAAACUGAC
Molecule: long non-coding RNA, 1674 nt
Filed under: Marmota monax (woodchuck)
Lineage: Eukaryota; Metazoa; Chordata; Mammalia; Rodentia; Sciuridae
Source: RNAcentral